GAUUAUCUAUGGUCAUUUAAAUAGCAGCAAGUAUUGCAAGCAUCCAUUUGGGAGGCAGAAUUUAAAGUUGCAGUGGCUGGAGUCCCCAAGACAUGAUGCCCUUCUGAAGAACAUCACCAUGCUUCAUGCACAGAUCAUUCUGAAGCAUAAAGAAUUAAAAACGGCAAUGGAGUUGACAAGUCCCUUAAUACAGAUCCUAAGUAGGAUUUUCAAGUGGUGCAACAUCAUCAAGGAAUUUGGUCCAGCAUUCUGGCAAACAUUUGACUGAUUGAUGAGGCUCUUACCUAAGCUAGGCAUGGGAUUUUGUUAUUUCAGUGGCUGAAGCUUUUCAUGGCAUGGAAGCUGAUUUGGAUGCUUUACCCGGAAACAGAAUGGGACUGGAAGUUUAUGUGGGAGCUGCAUCUUCUCCUAAGCUACUUCUGCUGGCUCAUUUGUUUUGGCAUGCUCCCAUAACCAAUGAGCUGUGAGAGGACUACUUUCAACAAGGGGAUAAAAAAAAAAAAAAAAAAAUGACAUGAACAAGACUCAUAUUAACACAAAUUGGAUCCCGCCAGCCCCCUUCCCCCUCCUAAUCUGAAGGAUGGCAGCACCGAUGCCCCUGAAUUUUCUCACUUUUCUGAUGAGUUGAUGCACACACAAGGCUUAAUCAAGGAAUUGGCCGGCUCAAAUGUUUUAUAUUACAAUGUCAUACAACUACCUUUUUGGGGGGACAAUGUCAAUAUACAAUUACUAGAUGUAUGGCUGACUAGAAUUUAGAGAGCAAAACGUGCAUUUAUGUAUUG
This is a long non-coding RNA of Prunus dulcis (almond), 782 nucleotides long. RefSeq lists it as uncharacterized. The transcript is spliced from 4 exons. The record is from RefSeq and is a predicted model, not a curated record. NCBI's taxonomy places the organism in Eukaryota, Viridiplantae, Streptophyta, Magnoliopsida, Rosales, Rosaceae.